AGAGUUUGAUCCUGGCUCAGGAUGAACGCUGGCGGCGUGCCUAACACAUGCAAGUCGAACGAGAACCCAUUCUUCGGAUUGGGGGACAGUGGCGAACGGGUGAGUAACACGUUGGUGACCUGCCCCGAAGUGAGGGACAAUCCUGUGAAAGCGGGGCUAAUACCGCAUGUGCUCCAGGGGGUUAGAGGCCCCUGGAGUAAAGCUCCGGCGCUUCGGGAGGGGCCUGCGGCCUAUCAGCUAGUUGGUGGGGUAACGGCUCACCAAGGCUAAGACGGGUAGGGGGCGUGAGAGCGUGGCCCCCCACAAUGGAACUGAGACACGGUCCAUACUCCUACGGGAGGCAGCAGUGAGGAAUAUUGCGCAAUGGGGGAAACCCUGACGCAGCAACGCCGCGUGGGUGAUGAAGGCUUUCGGGUCGUAAAACCCUUUUCUGGGGGAAGAGAAAGGACGGUACCUCAGGAAUAAGUCCCGGCUAACUACGUGCCAGCAGCCGCGGUAAAACGUAGGGGGCAAGCGUUAUCCGGAUUUACUGGGCGUAAAGCGCGUGCAGGCGGCUUGGUAGGUUGGACGUGAAAGCUCUCGGCUCAACUGAGAGAGGCCGUUCAAUACCGCCAGGCUCGAGGGCGGAAGAGGGGAGCGGAAUUCCCGGUGUAGUGGUGGAAUGCGUAGAUAUCGGGAGGAACACCAGUGGCGAAGGCGACUCUCUGGUCCACACCUGACGCUGAGGUGCGAAAGCGUGGGGAGCGAACGGGAUUAGAUACCCCGGUAGUCCACGCCGUAAACGAUGGAUACUUAGGUGUAGGAGGUUAUUUACCCCUUCUGUGCCGAAGCUAACGCGUUAAGUAUCCCGCCUGGGGACUACGAUCGCAAGGUUAAAACUCAAAGGAAUUGACGGGGGCCCGCACAAGCAGCGGAGCGUGUGGUUUAAUUCGAUGAUACGCGAAAAACCUUACCUGGGUUUGACAUGUUGGUAGUAGGGAAGCGAAAGCGGACUGACCCUUCGGGGAGCCUAGACAGGUGUUGCAUGGCUGUCGUCAGCUCGUGUCGUGAGAUGUUGGGUUAAGUCCCGCAACGAGCGCAACCCUCGUCGUUAGUUACAAGUGUCUAGCGAGACUGCCGUGAUCAUAGCGGAGGAAGGUGGGGACGACGUCAAGUCAGCAUGGCCUUUAUAUCCAGGGCGACACACACGCUACAAUGGCCGGUACAAUGGGCAGCCACACCGCGAGGUGGAGCUAAUCCUCAAAGCCGUUCUAAGUUCGGAUUGUAGUCUGCAACUCGACUGCAUGAAGGAGGAGUUGCUAGUAAACGCGCGUCAGCCAUAGUGCGUUGAAUACGUUCCCGGGCCUUGUACACACCGCCCGUCACGUCAUGGGAGCUGGUAACGCCUGAAGAUGGUGGAUCAACCGUAAGGAGAUAGCUGCCUAAGGUGGGACUGGUGACUGGGACGAAGUCGUAACAAGGUAACC
RNAcentral lists this ribosomal RNA (1466 nucleotides) under uncultured prokaryote. Its description in RNAcentral is "partial 16S ribosomal RNA". It matches the Rfam family "Bacterial small subunit ribosomal RNA". The record is from RNAcentral.